This 465-nucleotide ribosomal RNA is filed under the name Vreelandella stevensii. RNAcentral's name for it is "partial 16S ribosomal RNA". It matches the Rfam family "Bacterial small subunit ribosomal RNA", at positions 338 to 795 of the family's 1533-position model. The record is from RNAcentral. Lineage: Bacteria; Pseudomonadati; Pseudomonadota; Gammaproteobacteria; Oceanospirillales; Halomonadaceae.
CCUACGGGAGGCUGCAGUGGGGAAUAUUGGACAAUGGGCGAAAGCCUGAUCCAGCCAUGCCGCGUGUGUGAAGAAGGCCUUCGGGUUGUAAAGCACUUUCAGUGGGGAAGAAAGCCUUGGGGCUAAUACCCUCGAGGAAGGACAUCACCCACAGAAGAAGCACCGGCUAACUCCGUGCCAGCAGCCGCGGUAAUACGGAGGGUGCGAGCGUUAAUCGGAAUUACUGGGCGUAAAGCGCGCGUAGGCGGUCUGAUAAGCCGGUUGUGAAAGCCCCGGGCUCAACCUGGGAACGGCAUCCGGAACUGUCAGGCUAGAGUGCAGGAGAGGAAGGUAGAAUUCCCGGUGUAGCGGUGAAAUGCGUAGAGAUCGGGAGGAAUACCAGUGGCGAAGGCGGCCUUCUGGACUGACACUGACGCUGAGGUGCGAAAGCGUGGGUAGCAAACAGGAUUAGAUAUCCGAGUAGUC